GAAAGCUUGCCAAGAAAACUGCAGGGACUUUCUAGGAAUCAACUUUGACUUGAAGGCACCCCCUCCCAAAAAAAGAUGUAACAUAAGGCCUGUUCAAUCAGACCUACAGUAUAUACGCUCCACAGUUCUCCAUCAGCACAGAAGGGCAUCCCAAAUCAACUAAGAUUCAACCUCCUAUGGUUGCAAAAAUGUUUUUUUAAAGUGUAUGACAAUGUCUGACGAAGUUGGUUGGAUAAGACUAUAGGAUUAAACUUUUGGCUGCAUCUGAUAGCCAUGAGGAAUGUGUCAACCCUGACAGAAUGCAUCAGAUAACCUUCAUUCAUUACCAACACAUGAAAGCCAUUUUAAUAGUAAAUGUACUUGAUUGUA
This is a non-coding RNA of Pantherophis guttatus, 369 nucleotides long. The record is from RefSeq and is a predicted model, not a curated record. NCBI's taxonomy places the organism in Eukaryota, Metazoa, Chordata, Lepidosauria, Squamata, Colubridae.